AGAGUUGAUCAUGGCUCAGGAUGAACGCUAGCUACAGGCUUAACACAUGCAAGUCGAGGGGCAGCAGGACGAUAGCUUGCUAUGUUGCUGGCGACCGGCGCACGGGUGAGUAACGCGUAUCCAACCUUCCCCUUAGUAGGGCAUAGCCCGGUGAAAAUCGGAUUAAUACCCUAUGUUAUUCGUCGAGGACAUCUGAAGUGAAUCAAAGAUUUAUCGCUAAGGGAUGGGGAUGCGUCUGAUUAGGUAGUCGGCGGGGUAACGGCCCACCGAGCCCUCGAUCAGUAGGGGUUCUGAGAGGAAGGUCCCCCACACUGGUACUGAGACACGGACCAGACUCCUACGGGAGGCAGCAGUGAGGAAUAUUGGUCAAUGGGCGAGAGCCUGAACCAGCCAAGUAGCCGUGCAGGAUGACGGCCCUAUGGGUUGUAAACUGCUUUUAUACGGGGAUAAAGUGAGGGACGUGUCCCUUAUUGUAGGUACCGUAUGAAUAAGGACCGGCUAAUUCCGUGCCAGCAGCUGC
RNAcentral lists this ribosomal RNA (520 nucleotides) under uncultured bacterium. Its description in RNAcentral is "bacterial SSU rRNA". It matches the Rfam family "Bacterial small subunit ribosomal RNA", at positions 8 to 518 of the family's 1533-position model. The record is from RNAcentral.